Molecule: ribosomal RNA, 460 nt
Filed under: uncultured bacterium
Lineage: Bacteria
Description: partial 16S ribosomal RNA
Rfam family: Bacterial small subunit ribosomal RNA
Source: RNAcentral
CCUACGGGAUGCAGCAGUGAGGAAUAUUGGUCAAUGGACGAGAGUCUGAACCAGCAAAGUAGCGUGAAGGAUGACUGCCCUAUGGGUUGUAAACUUCUUUUAUAUGGGAAUAACAUGUUCCACGUGUGGGAUUUUGUAUGUACCAUAUGAAUAAGGAUCGGCUAAAUCCGUGCCAGCAGCCGCGGUAAUACGGAGGAUCCGCGCGUUAUCCGGAUUUAUUGGGUUUAAAGGGUGCGUAGGUGGAUUGUUAAGUCAGUUGUGAAAGUUUGCGGCUCAACCGUAAAAUUGCAGUGGAAAAUGGCAGUCUUGAGUACAGUAGAGGUGGGCGGAAUUCGUGGUGUAGCGGUGAAAUGCUUAGAUAUCACGAAGAACUCCGAUUGCGAAGGCAGUUCACUGGACUGCAACUGACACUGAGGCUCGAAAGUGUGGGUAUCAAACAGGAGUAGAUACCCUAGUAGUC